UGCGUAGGCGUCCAGGAAAGUUAUUUGUUAAAUCCUCCGGCUUAACCGGAGACCUGCAAGUAAAACUAUCUGGAUAGAGUUUAAGAGAGGAAAAUGGAAUUCCUGGUGUAGCGGUGACAUGCGUAGAUAUCAGGAGGAACAUCAACGGCGAAGGCAAUUUUCUGGCUUAAAACUGACGCUGAGGCACGAAAGCAUGGGGAGCGAACAGGAUUAGAUACCCUGGUAGUCC
RNAcentral lists this ribosomal RNA (229 nucleotides) under uncultured bacterium. RNAcentral's name for it is "partial 16S ribosomal RNA". It matches the Rfam family "Bacterial small subunit ribosomal RNA", at positions 568 to 796 of the family's 1533-position model. The record is from RNAcentral.